RNAcentral lists this ribosomal RNA (504 nucleotides) under uncultured bacterium. RNAcentral describes it as "partial 16S ribosomal RNA". It matches the Rfam family "Bacterial small subunit ribosomal RNA", at positions 29 to 523 of the family's 1533-position model. The record is from RNAcentral.
AUUGAACGCUGGCGGCAGGCCUAACACAUGCAAGUCGAACGGUAGCACAGAGAGCUUGCUCGCGGGUGACGAGUGGCGGACGGGUGAGUAACGUCUGGGAAACUGCCCGAUGGAGGGGGAUAACUACUGGAAACGGUAGCUAAUACCGCAUAACGUCGCAAGACCAAAGUGGGGGACCUUCGGGCCUCACACCAUCGGAUGUGCCCAGAUGGGAUUAGCUAGUAGGGGGGGUAAUGGCCCACCUAGGCCACGAUCCCUAGCCGGUCUGAGAGGAUGACCAGCCACACUUGAACUGAGCCACGGUCCAGACUCCUACGGGAGGCAGCAGUGGGGAAUAUUGCACAAUGGGCGCAAGCCGGAUGCAGCCAUGCCGCGUGUAUGAAGAAGGCCUUCGGGUUGUAAAGUACUUUCAGCGGGGAGGAAGGCGGUGAAGUUAAUAGCUUCACUGAUUGACGUUACCCGCAGAAGAAGCACCGGCUAACUCCGUGCCAGCAGCCGCAGUAA